This 1397-nucleotide ribosomal RNA is filed under the name metagenome. RNAcentral's name for it is "bacterial SSU rRNA". It matches the Rfam family "Bacterial small subunit ribosomal RNA". The record is from RNAcentral.
GAACGCUGGCGGCGUGCCUAAUACAUGCAAGUCGAGCGGAAACACUUCGGGUGUCGAGCGGCGGACGGGUGAGUAACGCGUAGGAAUCUACCCCAAACUGAGGGUUAAGCUCGGGAAACCGAGUCUAAUACCGCAUAUGGUCUUCGGAUUAAAGCUUCGGCGGUUUGGGAAGAGCCUGCGUUGGAUUAGCUUGUUGGUAAGGUAAUGGCUUACCAAGGCGAUGAUCCAUAGCUGGUCUGAGAGGAUGAUCAGCCACACUGGAACUGAGACACGGUCCAGACUCCUACGGGAGGCAGCAGUAGGGAAUCUUCCACAAUGGACGAAAGUCUGAUGGAGCAACGCCGCGUGCAGGAUGAAUGCCUUAGGGUUGUAAACUGCUUAUAUAGGUGAAGAAUAUGACGGUAACCUAUGAAUAAGGAUCGGCUAACUCCGUGCCAGCAGCCGCGGUCAUACGGAGGAUCCAAGCGUUAUCCGGAAUUACUGGGCGUAAAGAGAUGCGUAGGUGGUUCUUUAAGCAAAAUAUGAAAUCAUAAGGCUCAACCUUACGACUGUGUUUUGAACUGAAGAACUAGAGGAUGGUAGAGGAAGUUGGAAUUCCUGGUGUAGGAGUGAAAUCCGUAGAUAUCAGGAGGAACACCAAUGGCGAAGGCAGACUUCUGGGCCAUUUCUGACACUGAGGCUCGAAAGCGUGGGGAGCGAACCGGAUUAGAUACCCGGGUAGUCCACGCCGUAAACUAUGGAUGCUAGCUGUUAUGGGUAUCGACCCCCGUAGUAGCGAAGCUAACGCGUUAAGCAUCCCGCCUGGGGAGUACGGUCGCAAGAUUAAAACUCAAAGGAAUUGACGGGGACCCGCACAAGCGGUGGAGCGUGUUGUUUAAUUGGAUGUAAGCCAAGAACCUUACCAAGGUUUGACAUCCUCAGAAUUACUAUGAAAGUAGUGAGUGCUUUAUUGAACUGAGUGACAGGUGUUGCAUGGCCGUCGUCAGCUCGUGUCGUGAGAUGUUGGGUUAAGUCCCGCAACAAGCGCAACCCCUAUGAUUAGUUGGAUUUUUCUAGUCAGACUGCCUCGGUAACGGGGAGGAAGGAGGGGACGACGUCAGGUCCGCAUUACCCUUACACCUUGGGCUACAAACGCGCUACAAUGGCCGGUACAAUGGGCAGCCAAAUCGCAAGAUGGAGCAAAUCCCACCAAAGCCGGUCCCAGUUCGGAUUGCAGGCUGAAACUCGCCUGCAUGAAGUCGGAAUCGCUAGUAAUCGUAGGUCAGAACACUACGGUGAAUACGUUCCCGGGUCUUGUACACACCGCCCGUCAUACCAUGGAAGUCGCCAGCACCCGAAGUACAACAUUAGUUGUCCUAAGGUGAGGGAGAUGACUGGGGUAAAGUCGUAACAAGGUA